This 301-nucleotide ribosomal RNA is filed under the name uncultured Porphyromonadaceae bacterium. RNAcentral describes it as "bacterial SSU rRNA". It matches the Rfam family "Bacterial small subunit ribosomal RNA", at positions 338 to 636 of the family's 1533-position model. Lineage: Bacteria; Pseudomonadati; Bacteroidota; Bacteroidia; Bacteroidales; Porphyromonadaceae. The record is from RNAcentral.
CCUACGGGGGGCAGCAGUGAGGAAUAUUGGUCAAUGGGCGAGAGCCUGAACCAGCCAAGUCGCGUGAAGGAAGAAGGAUCUAUGGUUCGUAAACUUCUUUUGCAGGGGAAUAAAGUGCAGGACGUGUCCUGUUUUGUAUGUACCCUGAGAAUAAGGAUCGGCUAACUCCGUGCCAGCAGCCGCGGUAAUACGGAGGAUCCGAGCGUUAUCCGGAUUUAUUGGGUUUAAAGGGUGCGUAGGUGGUUUGAUAAGUCAGCGGUGAAAGUUUGCAGCUUAACUGUAAAAAUGCCGUUGAAACUGU